UUCCAGACUCCUACGGGAGGCAGCAGUGGGGAAUAUUGCACAAUGGGGGAAACCCUGAUGCAGCAACGCCGCGUGGGUGAAGGAGCGUUUCGGCGCGUAAAGCCCUGUCAGCGGGGAAGAAGAAAGACGGUACCCGACCAAGAAGCCCCGGCUAACUACGUGCCAGCAGCCGCGGUAAUACGUAGGGGGCGAGCGUUAUCCGGAAUUACUGGGUGUAAAGGGAGCGUAGACGGCGAGGUAAGCCUGAAGUGGAAGCCCGCGGCCCAACCGCGGAACUGCUUUGGGAACUGUUUUGCUGGAGUAUGGGAGGGGUAAGCGGAAUUCUUGGUGUAGCGGUGAAAUGCGUAGAUAUCAGGAGGAACACCGGUGGCGAAGGCGGCUUACUGGACUGUAACUGACGUUGAGGCUCGAAAGCGUGGGGAGCAAACAGGAUUAGAUACCCCGGUAC
RNAcentral lists this ribosomal RNA (448 nucleotides) under uncultured bacterium. RNAcentral's name for it is "bacterial SSU rRNA". It matches the Rfam family "Bacterial small subunit ribosomal RNA", at positions 329 to 793 of the family's 1533-position model. The record is from RNAcentral.